UACGAAGGGGGCGAGCGUUGUUCGGAUUUACUGGGCGUAAAGGGCGCGCAGGCGGCCGGCCAAGUCAGGCGUGAAAGCCCCGGGCUUAACCUGGGAAUUGCGUCUGGGACUGGUUGGCUAGAGAUCGGGAGAGGAGAGUGGAAUUCCCAGUGUAGAGGUGAAAUUCGUAGAUAUUGGGAAGAACACCGGUGGCGAAGGCGGCUCUCUGGACCGGCAUUGACGCUGAGGAGCGAAAGCCAGGGGAGCAAACGGG
RNAcentral lists this ribosomal RNA (253 nucleotides) under uncultured bacterium. RNAcentral's name for it is "partial 16S ribosomal RNA". It matches the Rfam family "Bacterial small subunit ribosomal RNA", at positions 524 to 776 of the family's 1533-position model. The record is from RNAcentral.